ACAACAAAGGUAAAAUAGAAUCUCAGUUUAUACACAUUCAGUUAAUUGUCCACAUGUACAUCCAGUCUAGCUUAAACACGUGUACAUUAAGGGUUUAGUGGUACAUGUGUGCAACCACAAUUGUACACAUGUACAGAAACAUAUCUUGUCCACUUUCACAUACCUCUGUUUUUCGUGCGUCUUCCUCUUCGUUCUCAUCACGCCCCCCACCCUCAGUCUCCCUAAGCUUUCCCUCCUGUCCAGUAGCAAAUGUUUGAACACAAAUUAACACCUACUGAACUGCCGCAUAAUUGAUCAAACAGAACUCCGUCUUAAUUCUAACCAUACCUCACUGCUAAUUUCGUCUAAAUCUGUCCCCCGAUCGGACAGGCUUCCUUGGGAUCGGCUCUCCUGCACAGCAUCAAAUGUUUGUACAUCAAUUGUCCACAUGUACAGAUACACAGUUUCUCCACGUCAACAUACCUCCAUGUUUCUUGCGCCUCCCUCUUUCUUCUCCUCAAGCCCCCCGCACUCAGUCUCACUAGCCUUGCCCUCCUACACAAUAACAAAUGUAUGCCCGCAGGUUAGCACCUAAAUCAUCUACUCGAAUAUGGACAAACGUACAAGAUGUACCCAACGCUCUUCCACACUGACCUUAACUACCCUCUUCCACCACGUGAACAACUUCUCAACACCGUACACAAGUCUAAUUCAGCGUGGACAUUCUAAACAUUCUAAACACAUGGACAUUCUAAACGUACACACCUGGACUCUCUAAAUAAACACGUGGACAUUCUAAACAUUCUAAACGUACACACGUGUACAUUCAGCUCUAAUCACCAAACGUGUGCAACCAAAAUGUCCACAUGUACCAAAAAAUAUCUUCUCCACUAUAACAUACCUCUCGGGCUUCUUCCUCUUGCUUUUCAUCACGCACCCCACCCUCAGUCUCCCUUAGCUUGCCCUCCUGUCCAGUUGAAUAUGUUUGACCACAAAUUAACACCUGCUAAACCUCCUC
Molecule: long non-coding RNA, 997 nt
Filed under: Brassica napus (rape)
Lineage: Eukaryota; Viridiplantae; Streptophyta; Magnoliopsida; Brassicales; Brassicaceae
Description: long non-coding RNA (BNAP_LNC021579)
Source: RNAcentral